AACGAACGCUGGCGGCGCGCCUAAUACAUGCAAGUCGAGCGAGAAGACGUAGCAAUACGUUUGUAAAGCGGCGAACGGGUGAGGAAUACAUGGGUAACCUACCCUCGAGUGGGGAAUAACUAGCCGAAAGGUUAGCUAAUACCGCGUACGCUCCUUGGACUUCGGUUCAGGGAGGAAAGCGAUACCGUGGGUAUCGCGCUCUUGGAUGGGCUCAUGUCCUAUCAGCUUGUUGGUGAGGAACGGCUCACCAAGGCUUCGACGGGUAGCUGGGUCUGAGAGGACGAUCAGCCACACUGGCACUGCGACACGGGCCAGACUCCUACGGGAGCAGCAGUAAGGAAUAUGCGCAAUGGGCGAAAGCCUGACGCAGCGACGCCGCGUGGGGGAUGAAGGUC
This 395-nucleotide ribosomal RNA is filed under the name uncultured bacterium. RNAcentral describes it as "bacterial SSU rRNA". It matches the Rfam family "Bacterial small subunit ribosomal RNA", at positions 29 to 416 of the family's 1533-position model. The record is from RNAcentral.